RNAcentral lists this long non-coding RNA (619 nucleotides) under Eucalyptus grandis. RNAcentral's name for it is "long non-coding RNA (EGRA_LNC000187)". Lineage: Eukaryota; Viridiplantae; Streptophyta; Magnoliopsida; Myrtales; Myrtaceae. The record is from RNAcentral.
AGAAAAGAAAAAUAAAGUAAAAUUACCUAAUUUUUUUUUUGUUUUCUUUUUCUUUCUUUUUUCUCUUUUCUUUUUUUUUUUCUAAAAAAGAAAAAGAAGAAAAAAAGGCUGGUGGCCGGCCGGCGAGAAGGAGGGAUCUUCGGCGAGGGUUCCGACGAGGAGGUUCCUGCAGAACAGGAGCUCGGGUCGCUGGUCAGAGGCGUCGCGGGCGUCGGAGCGGCGUCGGGGGGGUUCGGAUCUGGAUCUGGAUCGGGUCAGCGACGCUCGGGCGGAGACCUUGGGGCGCGGGCAGCGACGAGGCGGAGGCGGCGUCGGGGCGACGUGGCGAAAUCGGCGGACGGCGUCGCGGGUGGCACGGCGAGACUGGCGGGCGUCGUCAUGGGCGGAGCAGGAAUCGUUGAAUCACUGGGGGAAAACGGAAGCCGCGGAUCGUCGGAGCGAGGGCAGUGAUACAGGAUCGGAACCGGCGCGAAAUUGGAUCGAGUUCAAAGGCGAGGCGGCGUCGGUGCAGGAACGUGGGCUCGGGGUCUGCAGAGUGGUGAUGCGGCGUCCGGCGGUGGCGUCGGUGCAGCGAUCGACGGCCGCGGAGGCGCGGCUGGGUCGCGGCCGUGGCGGUGGG